This 65-nucleotide transfer RNA is filed under the name Gonioctena intermedia. RNAcentral describes it as "tRNA-Tyr". It matches the Rfam family "tRNA". From Rfam's summary of the family: Transfer RNA (tRNA) molecules are approximately 80 nucleotides in length. Their secondary structure includes four short double-helical elements and three loops (D, anti-codon, and T loops). Lineage: Eukaryota; Metazoa; Arthropoda; Insecta; Coleoptera; Chrysomelidae. The record is from RNAcentral.
GAUGAGAUGGCUGAGAUUAGGCAAUAAAUUGUAAAUUUAUCAACGAAAUUAAAUUUCUCUCAUCA